RNAcentral lists this ribosomal RNA (520 nucleotides) under uncultured microorganism. Its description in RNAcentral is "bacterial SSU rRNA". It matches the Rfam family "Bacterial small subunit ribosomal RNA", at positions 9 to 521 of the family's 1533-position model. The record is from RNAcentral.
GAGUUUGAUCUUGGCUCAGGACGAACGCUGGCGGCGUGCCUAAUACAUGCAAGUCGAGCGAGGGUUUUUAAGACCCUAGCGGCGGACGGGUGAGUAACACGUAGGCAACCUGCCUCUCAGACCGGGAUAACAUAGGGAAACUUAUGCUAAUACCGGAUAGGUUUUUGGAUUGCAUGAUCCGAAAAGAAAAGAUGGCUUUUCGCUAUCACUGGGAGAUGGGCCUGCGGCGCAUUAGCUAGUUGGUGGGUAACGGCCUACCAAGGCGACGAUGCGUAGCCGACCUGAGAGGGUGACCGGCCACACUGGGACUGAGACACGGCCCAGACUCCUACGGGAGGCAGCAGUAGGGAAUUUUCCACAAUGGACGAAAGUCUGAUGGAGCAACGCCGCGUGGACGAUGAAGGUCUUCGGAUUGUAAAGUUCUGUUGUCAGGGACGAACACGUACCGUUCGAAUAGGGCGGUACCUUGACGGUACCUGACGAGAAAAGCCACGGCUAACUACGUGCCAGCAGCCGCGGU